GUCAUAACUUAGGCGCCGUAAGAGAGAAAACAUGUGAAUGUUUAGGCUUUUUAUGACUAGGUGGGGGCCAUUAGGGGCUAUAAAAGGCUGAGUAACCCGUCACCAUUUUGAGACUUGCUGUGACCCUCUGCAGCCCAAAGAUUAAAAGAACUGGGAGAAAUUAACAACUUGGUGCCUGGUGACCCGGAUCUUUGGCGUGCUGAGGAGGGGCAGAUUUGGCCUGUGGUGAGAUCGUGGGGCGAGGCGAACAGAAAGGACCGGUCCAAACAGAAAGGCUGCUUUGCCGGCCCUGAAAGCCGAGGCUGACCUGGACUCCUGCUCUCCCCUCUACAUGACCCUGACCAAAUGCUGCAACAGCUGGACCCACAACAACAACCUGAAAAUGUCAACAGUGCUGCAGGAAUGCGAUCUCAUGCAGCAGAGACGGAGAGCACUAAACCUAAGGCCCGUUUCACUACACGGGGGAAAAUUCCCAGACUGCGUCAGCUGACAGAGCUGUGACGAGACGCCCGCCAAGCCCGAAUGAAAAGUGAGGCCGAGCAAAGGAAUGCUGACCUUAACAACUCUGCAUUAACACUGUGCAGGACAGUGAUGGACCAACACGCAUGAUCGGGCAGCAAAAGGUGCGUGGCCGAGACAGGAGGAGCAAGUGAGGUCAGAAGGCACCUCAGAAUGGACAAAAAUACAGGAGAAGAAGAUGCAGGUUUCACCUACGGUGAGCAUGGACAUUGGAGAAAGGACUGCCCCAAUUGGGGUCAGAACCAGGAUGGACAGAACUUCGAGCAGCAGCA
Molecule: long non-coding RNA, 791 nt
Organism: Oreochromis aureus
Lineage: Eukaryota; Metazoa; Chordata; Actinopteri; Cichliformes; Cichlidae
Source: Ensembl